UAUACAUUGCCUAUAUUUCCUCCAGUUGUACAGAUGGCCCUUGAUAGAAAGGACAUUGGUUUCAAAUCAAAAGACAAAUCUGCCCUUCGUGCAGCUCUAAUACAGACUCUGUUUGAUGACCUCAGCAAAUAUACGCUGUAUCCAGACCACAUAAUGUACAGUACUGUGCUAAGUACUUUGUGCUGUAAGUACAGAUUUCUAAGGGAUGACAGCCAAAAUGGAUAUGCUACUCUACUUGAAAUACUGAGAAAUAAAUUCAAAAAAGAGAGAAAGACACUUAUUUCAGUGGAGACUGUAGAAGACAUGAAAAAAAAGUUUGGUGCUGUGGGUCGAGGAAGGAAGCGUGCACCAGAGCAACAGCAACCGCUCAUGAAAAAGAGAAGA
Molecule: long non-coding RNA, 384 nt
Organism: Acipenser ruthenus (sterlet)
Lineage: Eukaryota; Metazoa; Chordata; Actinopteri; Acipenseriformes; Acipenseridae
Exons: 3
Source: RefSeq, a predicted model, not a curated record